Brachypodium distachyon (stiff brome) is the source of this 136-nucleotide non-coding RNA. NCBI's taxonomy places the organism in Eukaryota, Viridiplantae, Streptophyta, Magnoliopsida, Poales, Poaceae. The record is from Rfam.
GUGAUACUUCCUCGGUCCAACAAAAGAUGUCUCAAGUUUCUUACAAUUUGAACGUAUCUAAACAUGACUUAGUGUAUAGAUGAAUUCAAAUUUAGUCAAAGUUGAGACAUAUUUUGUUAGACGGAAAGAGUAUAUU